UGGGGAAUCUUGCGCAAUGGGCGAAAGCCUGACGCAGCGACGCCGCGUGAGUGAUGAAGGCCUUCGGGUUGUAAAGCUCUGUGGGGAGAGACGAAUAAGUAGAAGCUAAUACCUUCUAUGAUGACGGUAUCUACUUAGCAAGCACCGGCUAACUCUGUGCCAGCAGCCGCGGUAAGACGAAGGGGGCAAGCGUUGUUCGGAAUUACUGGGCGUAAAGGGCGCGUAGGCGGCUCUGUAAGUCAGGUGUGAAAGCCCUGGGCUCAACCUGGGAGUGGCACUUGAUACUGUGGGGCUAGAGAGUGGGAGAGGUUGGUGGAAUUCCCAGUGUAGAGGUGAAAUUCGUAGAUAUUGGGAAGAACACCGGUGGCGAAGGCGGCCAACUGGACCAUUUCUGACGCUGAGGCGCGAAAGCGUGGGGAGCAAA
RNAcentral lists this ribosomal RNA (424 nucleotides) under uncultured bacterium. Its description in RNAcentral is "bacterial SSU rRNA". It matches the Rfam family "Bacterial small subunit ribosomal RNA", at positions 355 to 772 of the family's 1533-position model. The record is from RNAcentral.